UACGAAGGGGGCUAGCGUUGCUCGGAAUUACUGGGCGUAAAGGGCGCGUAGGCGGCACUGUUAGUCAGGCGUGAAAGUCCUGGGCUCAACCUAGGAACUGCGCUUGAUACGGCAGAGCUAGAGGAUGGAAGAGGGUCGCGGAAUUCCCAGUGUAGAGGUGAAAUUCGUAGAUAUUGGGAAGAACACCGGUGGCGAAGGCGGCGACCUGGUCCAUUACUGACGCUGAGGCGCGACAGCGUGGGGAGCAAACAGG
This 253-nucleotide ribosomal RNA is filed under the name uncultured bacterium. Its description in RNAcentral is "partial 16S ribosomal RNA". It matches the Rfam family "Bacterial small subunit ribosomal RNA", at positions 524 to 776 of the family's 1533-position model. The record is from RNAcentral.